Long non-coding RNA from Bubalus bubalis (water buffalo), 4871 nucleotides. RefSeq lists it as uncharacterized. The transcript has 2 exons. The record is from RefSeq and is a predicted model, not a curated record. NCBI's taxonomy places the organism in Eukaryota, Metazoa, Chordata, Mammalia, Artiodactyla, Bovidae.
UCCCAUGGACAGAGGAGCCUGGCAGGUUACAGUCCAUGGGGUCGCAAAGAGUCAGACACGAUUUAACGACUAAACAACAACAGCAUAAAUAUUAAAGAAUGAAAACAAAACAAAAAGAAGGGCAAUUGCAAGUCUGGCCUUGGUAGCCUUUUCAAAUCUGGCCCCAGCCACACUAUUUCUAUCUAGCAGCAAUUCCUUUUCCUCCUUCCCUCCCUCCUUCCCUUCCUUCCUUCCUGUCUGUUUAGCAAGCAUAAAUCUUCCAGGUUGUUAUUUAGGGAGGAGAGACUAGCCCCCUCAGCCUGCAUGGAUCCCUCUGUUUUUUUCCGCUGGGUGCAGCAUUUCCCUUCCCUGCUGGCCUGCCGCUGAGUGCUGCUCUGGGCCAGAUGACUUCAAAGCCACCCCUCCCUCCCUGAGGUAGCUGUCCUUAAACUAAAACUCAAACGAAAGACAUUUCUGAGCUCUUUAAAAAUAAUAAUAAUAACAAUAAUAAAACGUCCUGUGAAUUCUCUUGCUUUUCAUGUGGUUCCUUGCCUCUCUCUGACAGCAUGACCUGUUCUGGGCUGCCAGCUCCAAUUCCUUUGAUGUCUGUCUCCAGGAUACCUCCCUGGAAUCUGUGCAGAGCGGAGUGAAAUUGUCUGGCAUGUGUGUGUUGAGGGAGGCGGUAGGGAGAAGCCCCAGCAACUUUGUGUACGUGUUCGGAAGGAAAUGAGGUUUCACUGGCAAUAACCUUGGAAGAACAUAUGUUCUUCUUGAUUAUGGAGAAUAUUCCAGUUUUCUUGUCUUUUCACCACCCCACCUCCAAUUUUCCCUUCAGCCACUGCUUCAGUAUUCAUGGUGCCCUGAUCAUCCAUCGUCUAGUGGUUUCCUUCAGGUAAUUUUGUUGUUUUCCAGAUUCUUCAAAGCAACCUGUCUCUCCUCUGGCCAGUGCCUGGGAUCUUCUUUUGAGGCAUGCCUCUCCAUUAAGCACAACAAAAAAUUAUUUAUUAUUACAGAGAAUUUUAGAUUACACAGAAGGGUCAUAAUCUCAUGAACUCCAUAUACCCAUUAUCCAGCUGAAGCAAUAGUCAGUUCACAGCCAAUUUGGUUUCAUCUAUAUCUUUCACAGCCUCCCUCCCCUUCUGUUAUUUUGAGGCAGAUCUCAGCUGUUGUAUCAUUUCCGCCAUAUUGAAAUAUGAUAUAUAGAAGGUUAGAGUUUGAAGAACAAUCAGUAACACUGUUACUGUACCCCCAAAUUAAUAAUUCCUAAAUAAUAUUAAGUAUCUAAUUAGCAUUCAAAUAUUUCAUAUAUCAAAAUAUCAUAUCUAUAUAUAUGUCAGCAUUUAAAAUGACAUGUAUAUCUUGAUUCAGUCUCAAGAUUUCUUAACUGUUUACCUAACCAAAACCUAAAGAGCUGCAAUUAGACAUUUCACCUCCAAACUAGCUAGGGGAAUUCUGUGCAGGGCACUCAAUUUGGGAUGUGUGGCCAGGCACUUACCCAGAAGGGUGCUGGCCCCAUGCUACAGACCUUCCUAGUCAGGCCCUAUGGCUGCAGCUCUGGGUUCUUUCUCCCCUUGGUCGUGGAGCCCCUGGGUAUAGACAAUUUCCUCAUAAACUUUGAGUCUCUGGGGUCACUUCAGAUUUUUGUUCCGUAUGUUAUACAAACCUAAAGCAUUUAAACAUGUUGUUCCUUUUUUCUUAUUUAAUUGACUUACAUAGCAUUCAGUGCACCUAACAUUGUUCUAAGCAUUUUUGCAUAUUAACUGUCUAAUUAUCACAAUAACCCUAAAGAUAAGCUUAUAGGGACCAGAGGAAAAGGGUGGCUUUUUGUCUCUCUUAUAUCAGUAGGUUUUGUGAUAGUGAACACAUGUCCCAUAUUUUCUGGGACACUCCCAGUUUUAUAUCAUUUUAACUUUUUUAGAAAAAAAUGUGAGUUUAUACAUGUGUGAACUGUGAUGCCUUUGUGAAGUAUUCAUAUGUACUUGCAAGUUAGAAACUCUCUUCCAAGCCACAUAUUCUGAAAACCAGUUCAGUUGACAUUCCCUGCACCCUUGAAGUCAGGUGUUGGCAGCAUCCUUCUUUCCUCACUCUUUGCACGUGAGACCAGGGUUUGGCGUCCCAGAAAGCAGGCAGGCCAGCAUACCUUGCUGUCCUCUCCCUGCUUCUCGCCAGCUUAACGCUUUUCAUCCAGCUCUGUUCUUUUCCACAGCUGAGUCCAGUCUUCAGGUCACUCUGGGGACUGGGAGGCUUAGAAGGAAAGAGUCACUGGCUGAGUGUGUCGUUUCCCAGACAGGGCUUUCCUGGGGAUGAACGCUGCCGGGUGUGAGGGCUGCACCUGCCCCACAGCCACGCUCCAAGCACGCAUCACUGUGGUGCUCAGACAAAGGGCAGCUCUUCCACUCUCAAUGGGGGGAAAAGGUAAAAGAGAACCGGAAGGCUUUGUCACGAGAACAUGUUUGGUCUAAUGAGAGAAGAUUGCUUUAACCAUGCAUGUCCUCUGUACUGGGGCCUGAUCAGAUGAGUGGGGGCAGGUGAUACGGAGAGACCCCAGCCAUCCUUUGGAGGCCGAUUGAUGUGAGCCGAGGGGAUUUGAGGAUAGUGUAGCCUUGUGGUUAAGGCUGUAGGUUUUAUCUAGGGAUGUUUGAAGGAUGCCAAGCAGACCCUUGUGUGGUUGGUGUGGUAUGAAAGGUGUAUGCUCCCAAGAACCACAGCCAUCAACACCCACAUUAAUAGCCUUCUCUCCCAGGGCUUCGUCAGAGCAGUGCCUUCUGUUAAGGUUGUGUUCUGCAUUGCUCAGGACCUCAUACGCAGAAAGCGCUCGAUAUAUUCACAAUGGGCUUCCCUGGUGGCUCCCCAGUAAAGAAUCUGUCUGCAAUGCAUGAGACUCGGGUUCCACCCUGGGGUUGGGAGGAUCCGCUGGAGAAGGGAAAGGCAACCCACUCCAGUAUUUCUUGCCUGGGAAAUCCCAUGGACAGAGGAGCCUGGUGGGCUACAGUUCAUGGGGUCACAAGAGUUGGACACGACUUAUCGACUGCACAACAACUCACACUGAAUGAGCUGCACAUAGCUCAUUGGUUGGAAUACUCGUUCACUGCAGUCCUCCAUGGACCCCAAAGCUGGUGUCUGUUUCCUUUCACACGACCUCACCAGAUCUUCUCCAAACAUUAUCACCUAAGUUCUUCCUUAUUCUGCCUUAACCAGAAGGUUCACAGGCUGAGGUUUCCCUCAGCCACACCUGGACCCGAUCAAUUUCCUAGGUCUCAGUUUCCAAGAAUUGCCCUUCCCCAAACCUCAUUGCCUGGUCGGCUACCCACGAAAUGGCCUCUGGUUUCUCAUCGUCCUGUCGGCACCCUCAUCAAGUGGGAGCCCCCCACUUCUCAGUGUUGUUAAGCUGAGGGGGGCUUGGCCGUCAAACAGACCACACAGUAUAGCAGAGGUGGUGACUUCUUGCCAGAGAAGAAUCGGAGCAAUUGGGGUGGAGACCUGCGGUUCUUCUAAAGAGCACAGAAGAGUGAUGCAAUCGAUCACAGGAAAGGAUUUUGAUCCACUUUCUAGAACUGAAGCCUUCAGGAUCCAGCCAUUUCCCUUCAGAGCCUUAAAAGUCAUUGUGCCAUUGAGACUUGAUUUCCUGCCCUUGUGUCCCUUUUUCCUGCUGAUUUACCCUGCUCCUCCCUGGAAUCCCUGGCUGUUCCCUCACCACAGUGACUUCUAGUAGCCUAGCAACAUUGAUCUCGUGGAGCAAAGCCACCCAGGUACUGCUGGCCCUGCCAAGGAGAGAUCACGUGAAGGUGUCAGGUAGCCAGCAAAAUAUAUCUCCUUGGACUAGAUAUUCCUUUGGCUUGGUAAGGGCAAACCUCUUUAGUCCAGCCUGGAUGUGAGGGGACCUUCUGCUUGUUUUAUUGAUUUUUUUUUUUUUAGCCAAAGCAAUGUUAGCAGAGCCAAGAAUAAUGCUGGAAAGAUUAUGCACAAGAUCAUGGUCUUGCACAGUUUCCUGACAGUGGUCCAGCCUGCCGUCCACUUGGGACCCGAGAGCUUCGGUUGAGAAACCCUGCGCUGCGAUCAGAAUGUGAUGGAUCUGAACACAAGCCUUUAGCUUCUGAUGGACCCUGCCUCAUGCCAGCCUCUUGCUGCCUUUUAUGUGGCUCCCAGCCAGGAGUUUUGAGCUGUGUUCAGAGUCUUUGUUUAGGAUUUCCUAAGGGACAUCAGAGGCUUCCCAAGUGAAGCAGUGGUAAAGAACCCACCUGCCAACGCAGGAGACACAAGAGAUGUAGGUUCAAUCUCUGAGUCGGGAAGAUCCCCUGGAGAAGGAAAUGGCAACCUACUCCAGUAUUCUUAACUGGAAAAUUCCAUGGACAGAAGAGCCUGGUGGGCUAUGGUCCAUGGGGUAGCAAAGAGUUGGAUACAACUGAGCGCGCGUGCACACACACAAGGGACAUCAAAAGCAUGUCCCCAGGUGGGCACAGAGCCUGUCUUCAGAAUGAAGCAUCUGCAAAAAGAAAAGGAAAAGACUGUUUGAUUCCAGAGACUAUUCAUGGCUGAGAAAUGGAAGACUGGAAGCAAGUGAUGCUGUGUGGAAUCCUUAAACCCUUCUUAGUGUCUGCCUCCUGCUCAGACCUGCACAUCUUGUGACUACAGUCACUAUCUAAGCCUUGCCCGAUCUGUGUGGGACCUGUCAUCCUGGGAAGACCCUUUCCUUGGGACUCUCUCUUGUACCCCCUCAUCCCACCCAGUAAACAUGGCUUAGGACUGCUUUGUCUGAACUGUCCCUCUUACCCCUGAGAUGACACUUGCCAGACUCCUCUUUCAUACACACUUCAGUUAUUCUUCCUUGUCUUCAGCUGUAUAUCUGUUGGGAAAACCCCACGUGUUAAUAAACAGCGAGUUUUAAAACAUCA